Long non-coding RNA from Capsicum annuum, 608 nucleotides. RefSeq lists it as uncharacterized. The transcript is spliced from 3 exons. The record is from RefSeq and is a predicted model, not a curated record. Lineage: Eukaryota; Viridiplantae; Streptophyta; Magnoliopsida; Solanales; Solanaceae.
CUUUUCUCCUUCUCUUUCCUUAAUUUUUUUUCUUUACCCUUUUUUCACGCCAUUGAAAGAUUUCCUUCUUUUAAAUUUUUUUCUUUUGCACGAUUUUAACAAGAUUUGAUAAGGAUAGUGUUCCUCUAUUUCAGGAAUUUAGGUCCAAAUUUCAUAACGAUCGGUGAAGAUGGCGGAUAUUUUGAAAAAAAAAAACGGUUGAAGAAAAUUUCUUCUCCAAAAGAACAAAAAAUAAAAAAAUACGAGAAGAAAAGAAAAGUCAAUGGAAUUACAGAAUAAAGCAAUGUUGAUGAUGAUAUUGAGAACUCUUCUGCUAGUGAAUUUGAAGAAGAAAUAAAAGAAGAGGCGUUCCUACGGCUGAGUUCAAUCCCAACGUACUUCGUACAAGAUAUGCUUCACUAUUGUGGGGACUAUGAUAAGAGAAAACAAGAAGCAAAAGCUCAAAGUGAUGAUGAAGCACCAUUGAGGUCGGUUAGGAAAAGCAAGAUAACUAGUGUCAUAGAAGUUUUAGAAGUCUGAUUGUUCGUGGUUUUAUUACAUUGCAUCGUUGUUAAGAUUUAUCUGGAUGUUGGUAUUAAUUGUAGAAACUUUUUUUUAUGUUUUGUAGU